GGCGCGAGCAGGUGCGAAAGCAGGUCAUAGUGAUCCGGUGGUUCUGAAUGGAAGGGCCAUCGCUCAACGGAUAAAAGGUACUCCGGGGAUAACAGGCUGAUACCGCCCAAGAGUUCAUAUCGACGGCGGUGUUUGGCACCUCGAUGUCGGCUCAUCACAUCCUGGGGCUGAAGUAGGUCCCAAGGGUAUGGCUGUUCGCCAUUUAAAGUGGUACGCGAGCUGGGUUUAGAACGUCGUGAGACAGUUCGGUCCCUAUCUGCCGUGGGCGCUGGAGAACUGAGGGGGGCUGCUCCUAGUACGAGAGGACCGGAGUGGACGCAUCACUGGUGUUCGGGUUGUCAUGCCAAUGGCACUGCCCGGUAGCUAAAUGCGGAAGAGAUAAGUGCUGAAAGCAUCUAAGCACGAAACUUGCCCCGAGAUGAGUUCUCCCUGACCCUUUAAGGGUCCUGAAGGAACGUUGAAGACGACGACGUUGAUAGGCCGGGUGUGUAAGCGCAGCGAUGCGUUGAGCUAACCGGUACUAAUGAACCGU
RNAcentral lists this ribosomal RNA (532 nucleotides) under Escherichia coli. RNAcentral describes it as "partial 23S ribosomal RNA". It matches the Rfam family "Bacterial large subunit ribosomal RNA", at positions 2386 to 2912 of the family's 2925-position model. The record is from RNAcentral. Lineage: Bacteria; Pseudomonadati; Pseudomonadota; Gammaproteobacteria; Enterobacterales; Enterobacteriaceae.